RNAcentral lists this ribosomal RNA (2889 nucleotides) under Pseudomonas aeruginosa. Its description in RNAcentral is "bacterial LSU rRNA". It matches the Rfam family "Bacterial large subunit ribosomal RNA". The record is from RNAcentral. Lineage: Bacteria; Pseudomonadati; Pseudomonadota; Gammaproteobacteria; Pseudomonadales; Pseudomonadaceae.
UCAAGUGAAGAAGCGCAUACGGUGGAUGCCUUGGCAGUCAGAGGCGAUGAAAGACGUGGUAGCCUGCGAAAAGCUUCGGGGAGUCGGCAAACAGACUUUGAUCCGGAGAUCUCUGAAUGGGGGAACCCACCUAGGAUAACCUAGGUAUCUUGUACUGAAUCCAUAGGUGCAAGAGGCGAACCAGGGGAACUGAAACAUCUAAGUACCCUGAGGAAAAGAAAUCAACCGAGAUUCCCUUAGUAGUGGCGAGCGAACGGGGAUUAGCCCUUAAGCUUCAUUGAUUUUAGCGGAACGCUCUGGAAAGUGCGGCCAUAGUGGGUGAUAGCCCCGUACGCGAAAGGAUCUUUGAAGUGAAAUCGAGUAGGACGGAGCACGAGAAACUUUGUCUGAACAUGGGGGGACCAUCCUCCAAGGCUAAAUACUACUGACUGACCGAUAGUGAACCAGUACCGUGAGGGAAAGGCGAAAAGAACCCCGGAGAGGGGAGUGAAAUAGAACCUGAAACCGUAUGCGUACAAGCAGUGGGAGCCUACUUGUUAGGUGACUGCGUACCUUUUGUAUAAUGGGUCAGCGACUUAUAUUCAGUGGCAAGCUUAACCGUAUAGGGUAGGCGUAGCGAAAGCGAGUCUUAAUAGGGCGUUUAGUCGCUGGGUAUAGACCCGAAACCGGGCGAUCUAUCCAUGAGCAGGUUGAAGGUUAGGUAACACUGACUGGAGGACCGAACCCACUCCCGUUGAAAAGGUAGGGGAUGACUUGUGGAUCGGAGUGAAAGGCUAAUCAAGCUCGGAGAUAGCUGGUUCUCCUCGAAAGCUAUUUAGGUAGCGCCUCAUGUAUCACUCUGGGGGGUAGAGCACUGUUUCGGCUAGGGGGUCAUCCCGACUUACCAAACCGAUGCAAACUCCGAAUACCCAGAAGUGCCGAGCAUGGGAGACACACGGCGGGUGCUAACGUCCGUCGUGAAAAGGGAAACAACCCAGACCGCCAGCUAAGGUCCCAAAGUUGUGGUUAAGUGGUAAACGAUGUGGGAAGGCUUAGACAGCUAGGAGGUUGGCUUAGAAGCAGCCAUCCUUUAAAGAAAGCGUAAUAGCUCACUAGUCGAGUCGGCCUGCGCGGAAGAUGUAACGGGGCUCAAACCACACACCGAAGCUGCGGGUGUCACGUAAGUGACGCGGUAGAGGAGCGUUCUGUAAGCCUGUGAAGGUGAGUUGAGAAGCUUGCUGGAGGUAUCAGAAGUGCGAAUGCUGACAUGAGUAACGACAAUGGGUGUGAAAAACACCCACGCCGAAAGACCAAGGGUUCCUGCGCAACGUUAAUCGACGCAGGGUUAGUCGGUUCCUAAGGCGAGGCUGAAAAGCGUAGUCGAUGGGAAACAGGUUAAUAUUCCUGUACUUCUGGUUACUGCGAUGGAGGGACGGAGAAGGCUAGGCCAGCUUGGCGUUGGUUGUCCAAGUUUAAGGUGGUAGGCUGAAAUCUUAGGUAAAUCCGGGGUUUCAAGGCCGAGAGCUGAUGACGAGUCGUCUUUUAGAUGACGAAGUGGUUGAUGCCAUGCUUCCAAGAAAAGCUUCUAAGCUUCAGGUAACCAGGAACCGUACCCCAAACCGACACAGGUGGUCGGGUAGAGAAUACCAAGGCGCUUGAGAGAACUCGGGUGAAGGAACUAGGCAAAAUGGCACCGUAACUUCGGGAGAAGGUGCGCCGGCUAGGGUGAAGGAUUUACUCCGUAAGCUCUGGCUGGUCGAAGAUACCAGGCCGCUGCGACUGUUUAUUAAAAACACAGCACUCUGCAAACACGAAAGUGGACGUAUAGGGUGUGACGCCUGCCCGGUGCCGGAAGGUUAAUUGAUGGGGUUAGCGCAAGCGAAGCUCUUGAUCGAAGCCCCGGUAAACGGCGGCCGUAACUAUAACGGUCCUAAGGUAGCGAAAUUCCUUGUCGGGUAAGUUCCGACCUGCACGAAUGGCGUAACGAUGGCGGCGCUGUCUCCACCCGAGACUCAGUGAAAUUGAAAUCGCUGUGAAGAUGCAGUGUAUCCGCGGCUAGACGGAAAGACCCCGUGAACCUUUACUGUAGCUUUGCACUGGACUUUGAGUCUGCUUGUGUAGGAUAGGUGGGAGGCUUUGAAGCGUGGACGCCAGUUCGCGUGGAGCCAUCCUUGAAAUACCACCCUGGCAUGCUUGAGGUUCUAACUCUGGUCCGUAAUCCGGAUCGAGGACAGUGUAUGGUGGGCAGUUUGACUGGGGCGGUCUCCUCCUAAAGAGUAACGGAGGAGUACGAAGGUGCGCUCAGACCGGUCGGAAAUCGGUCGCAGAGUAUAAAGGCAAAAGCGCGCUUGACUGCGAGACAGACACGUCGAGCAGGUACGAAAGUAGGUCUUAGUGAUCCGGUGGUUCUGUAUGGAAGGGCCAUCGCUCAACGGAUAAAAGGUACUCCGGGGAUAACAGGCUGAUACCGCCCAAGAGUUCAUAUCGACGGCGGUGUUUGGCACCUCGAUGUCGGCUCAUCACAUCCUGGGGCUGAAGCCGGUCCCAAGGGUAUGGCUGUUCGCCAUUUAAAGUGGUACGCGAGCUGGGUUUAGAACGUCGUGAGACAGUUCGGUCCCUAUCUGCCGUGGACGUUUGAGAUUUGAGAGGGGCUGCUCCUAGUACGAGAGGACCGGAGUGGACGAACCUCUGGUGUUCCGGUUGUCACGCCAGUGGCAUUGCCGGGUAGCUAUGUUCGGAAAAGAUAACCGCUGAAAGCAUCUAAGCGGGAAACUUGCCUCAAGAUGAGAUCUCACUGGGAACUUGAUUCCCCUGAAGGGCCGUCGAAGACUACGACGUUGAUAGGCUGGGUGUGUAAGCGUUGUGAGGCGUUGAGCUAACCAGUACUAAUUGCCCGUGAGGCUUGACCAU